Molecule: ribosomal RNA, 578 nt
Filed under: uncultured bacterium
Lineage: Bacteria
Description: partial 16S ribosomal RNA
Rfam family: Bacterial small subunit ribosomal RNA
Source: RNAcentral
UGGGGAAUAUUGCACAAUGGGCGCAAGCCUGAUGCAGCCAUGCCGCGUGUGUGAAGAAGGCCUUCGGGUUGUAAAGCACUUUCAGCGAGGAGGAAGGUGGUGAGCUUAAUACGCUCAUCAAUUGACGUUACUCGCAGAAGAAGCACCGGCUAACUCCGUGCCAGCAGCCGCGGUAAUACGGAGGGUGCAAGCGUUAAUCGGAAUUACUGGGCGUAAAGCGCACGCAGGCGGUUUGUUAAGUCAGAUGUGAAAUCCCCGGGCUCAACCUGGGAACUGCAUUUGAAACUGGUAAGCUAGAGUCUCGUAGAGGGGGGUAGAAUUCCAGGUGUAGCGGUGAAAUGCGUAGAGAUCUGGAGGAAUACCGGUGGCGAAGGCGGCCCCCCUGGACGAAGACUGACGCUCAGGUGCGAAAGCGUGGGGCAGCAAACAGGAUUAGAUACCCUGGUAGUCCAGCGCUGUAAACGAUGUCGAUUUGGAGGUUGUGCCCUUGAGGCGUGGCUUCCGGAGCUAACGCGUUAAAUCGACCGCCUGGGGGAGUACGGCCGCAAGGUUAAAAACUCAAAUGAAUUGACGGGGUC